This is a long non-coding RNA of Halichondria panicea, 595 nucleotides long. RefSeq lists it as uncharacterized. Lineage: Eukaryota; Metazoa; Porifera; Demospongiae; Suberitida; Halichondriidae. The record is from RefSeq and is a predicted model, not a curated record. The transcript is spliced from 3 exons.
GUUUACAUGACAAACCGUUUUACCCCAAGCGCUUUGAAAGCGCUUUGCGGUUGCGUUUACACAGCAAUUAAUCACUUCCUUCAAAGCGCUUUGUAAGCGCUUUGAAGGUUGCGUUUACACAGCAACUAACCACUUCCUGCACAAGCGACUAAUGAGUGAGCCACGUGGUCAGAUAAUAGUUUUGCAAAGAAGACAGAGAAGAAAGAAGAGGAUGAUCCAGUCUUUUGAGAGUCUUCAUGAGCAAUCAGGAGUUUUUUGGCCGGAGUGCCCUGGUGAAUCUGGCUGAAUCUGACUUCCAUCUGCACAAAAUGAUUGUAGGGUAAGGGUCAGGGUCAGGGUCGGAGUCAGUGUCUAGGGCGGCUUCAGUGACCGAGUUUCCUGAAUCUAAGAGAGUGAUGGGUGUAGAAGCUGGCCUAUGCCCAAGAAUGCUGUCCAACUCUUUGUAAAAUUUGCACUGUUUCCUUCCAUUGCCAGUUUUGUUAUUGUGAUCUUUGAUUUCUUUGUAGCUUGUUUUAAGGUUUUUAACUUUAGAACGGCACUGUUUCCAAUCCCUGGUGUGUCCUUGUUUUUGCAAUUUUUUUGCAAUUUUUUCAUA